Non-coding RNA from Fistulina hepatica ATCC 64428, 95 nucleotides. The record is from the annotation of a GenBank genome assembly. NCBI's taxonomy places the organism in Eukaryota, Fungi, Basidiomycota, Agaricomycetes, Agaricales, Fistulinaceae.
UCGGAUAUGGUGUAACGGCUAACAUUUGCGCCUCUCAUACUUGCUUGGGCUAAUAAGUGACGCGCAAGCUCGGGGUUCGAUUCCCUGUAUCCGAA